This 440-nucleotide ribosomal RNA is filed under the name uncultured cyanobacterium. RNAcentral's name for it is "bacterial SSU rRNA". It matches the Rfam family "Bacterial small subunit ribosomal RNA", at positions 917 to 1359 of the family's 1533-position model. Lineage: Bacteria; Bacillati; Cyanobacteriota. The record is from RNAcentral.
GGGCCCGCACAAGCAGUGGAUCAUGUGGUUUAAUUCGACGAUACCCGAAAACCUUACCAGAACUUGACAUCUAGGGAAUCCUAUAGAAGUAUGGGAGUGCUCGCAAGAGAGCCCUAAGACAGGUGGUGCAUGGUUGUCGUCAGCUCGUGUCGUGAGAUGUUAGGUUAAGUCCUGCAACGAGCGCAACCCUCGUAUUGUGUUGCUACAUUUAGUUGAGCACUCUCAAUAGACUGCCCGUGGUAAACGGAGGAAGGUGGGGAUGACGUCAAAUCAUCAUGCCCUUUAUGUUCUGGGCUACACACAUGAUACAAUGGCAAGUACAAAGGGACGCCAAACCGCAAGGUGGAGCAAAUCUCAUAAAACUUGCCUCAGUUCAGAUCGCAGGCUGCAACUCGCCUGCGUGAAGAUGGAAUUGCUAGUAAACGCAGAUCAGCAUGCUG